CCAGACUCCUACGGGAGGCAGCAGUGGGGAAUAUUGCACAAUGGGGGAAACCCUGAUGCAGCGACGCCGCGUGGGUGAAGGAGUAUUUCGGUAUGUAAAGCCCUAUCGGCAGGGAAGAAGCAAGACGGUACCUGACUAAGAAGCCCCGGCUAACUACGUGCCAGCAGCCGCGGUAAUACGUAGGGGGCGAGCGUUAUCCGGAUUCACUGGGUGUAAAGGGAGCGUAGACGGUCCUGCAAGCCAGAUGUGAAAGCCCGGGGCUCAACCCCGGGACUGCAUUUGGAACUGUAAGGCUAGAGUGUCGGAGAGGCAGGCGGAAUUCCUAGUGUAGCGGUGAAAUGCGUAGAUAUUAGGAGGAACACCAGUGGCGAAGGCGGCCUGCUGGACGAUGACUGACGUUGAGGCUCGAAAGCGUGGGGAGCAAACAGGAUUAGAUACCCGAGUAA
This 446-nucleotide ribosomal RNA is filed under the name uncultured bacterium. Its description in RNAcentral is "bacterial SSU rRNA". It matches the Rfam family "Bacterial small subunit ribosomal RNA", at positions 331 to 793 of the family's 1533-position model. The record is from RNAcentral.